This 321-nucleotide long non-coding RNA is filed under the name Vulpes vulpes (red fox). RNAcentral's name for it is "lncRNA (ENSVVUG00000009925.1)". The record is from RNAcentral. Lineage: Eukaryota; Metazoa; Chordata; Mammalia; Carnivora; Canidae.
CAAAAUCUAGUAUAUAGAUGGUGACUUAGGGAUGGUGGUUGAUGGGUAAAAUGAUGAAUUACCUGAGUUUAAAUCUGAAACGACUUGGGAGAAAUAAGGCAGCGUUGGCUAAGAAAAAUAGCAAUGCAGCUGAGUCAACUGAAUGUGAAGAUUGUAAGAUGCUAUCUAUUUCUGAACCUUUGACCACAUCAACUGUACAACUUAACCCAAAGUCAUUUUGGGCGAAUACUUAUGAAGUAAAAAUGUUCAUGAAAGACUACCUUUGUCUUCAUGACCACAAUUUGAGCACAAUUUGUUAUUGUGGAAAUUAGAGAGGAUAUG